GCCGAAGUGGCGGAAUUGGCAGACGCGCUGGAUUCAAAAUCCAGUUGGAGCAAUCCAGUGAGGGUUCGAGUCCCUCCUUCGGUACUA
RNAcentral lists this transfer RNA (87 nucleotides) under Rhodopirellula maiorica SM1. RNAcentral's name for it is "tRNA-Leu". It matches the Rfam family "tRNA". Rfam says of the family: Transfer RNA (tRNA) molecules are approximately 80 nucleotides in length. Their secondary structure includes four short double-helical elements and three loops (D, anti-codon, and T loops). Lineage: Bacteria; Pseudomonadati; Planctomycetota; Planctomycetia; Pirellulales; Pirellulaceae. The record is from RNAcentral.